UUCAGAGUUUUCAUUUCCGUUUGUGUUUCAGCUGCCUCGUCGUAGUAGAAACUGCUAGAAACUUGAGAGUUCGUUGAUAAGAGUCGCAAAUGAAUGCAUAAUUUAAAAGAUAGUGGUCUUUCGUAAUUCGUUUAACAUUUUACAGAUAUGUUUUAAUCAAAGUGUUAUUAUAGUAGAACAGUUUUCCUUUCUUCCACUCUUGUAAGCUACAGAAAAAACGUUCCGCUUUAGCAUGUUGUCAGGAGUGACUGGUUACAGGGAAGUAGUUUCUCCUAAAUGUUUAAGUAAAGUCCUCUUUGAAGCUAAGUAUAUGUUGUGAGCUACAGACUAAUUUAAACAUCUUGUUGUUUGCUGUGUGUCGGUUUUAAUUAACGUGUGCCAACGACGGAAAAGUAAGCGGACAACCAGAAGCACCGCCUGGUGUUUCAGUUGGUGCUGAGUUCAACGUUCAGGUCAGAGUGAAGAAAAACACGCUACACCAGUUAACGGUCAAAAUGUCAGAGGCUGGUGGCGACAGUCGCACUAAAACAUUAAAUUUCAACGUUGGAGUGCUCGGACAUGUCGACAGCGGGAAGACGUCGCUGGCCAGGGCGCUGAGCAGCACCGCCUCCACGGCUGCCUUCGACAAGAACCCGCAGUCCCGUGAGAGGGGCAUCACGCUGGACCUCGGCUUCUCCUCCUUCACGGUGGAUCUGCCUGAUCAACUGCGGGACAGCGGGGGGCAGCAGCAGUAUGACAGCCUGCAGUUCACCCUGGUGGACUGCCCGGGACACGCCUCUCUUAUCCGGACUAUCAUUGGGGGUGCCCAAAUUAUUGACCUGAUGAUGCUGGUGGUGGAUGUGGUGAAGGGGGUGCAGACCCAGACUGCAGAGUGUCUGCUGAUAGGAGAGCUGACCUGCCCUUGCAUGGUGGUCGUCCUGAACAAGAUUGACCUCCUGCCACCCAACAAAAGACAGAGUGCCAUUGAGAAGAUGACCAAGAGACUGCACAAAACACUGGAGGGCACCAGAUUUAAAGAUUGUCCAGUGAUUGCUGUGGCAGCAAAGCCUGGGGGCCCGGAGGCUCCUGACACAGAGGAGCCGCAGGGAGUGCCGGAGUUAAUAGAGCUUUUGAAGAAACAGACAUACCUCCCUAAGAGAGACCCCGGAGGUGACCUUCUGAUGGCUGUGGACCACUGCUUCUCCAUCCGCGGUCAGGGAACAGUCAUGACUGGCACCAUCCUGCAGGGGUCGCUGGCCAUCAAUGACACUGUGGAAAUCCCAGCACUAAAGGUGACAAAGAAGAUAAAAUCGGUGCAGAUGUUUCGGAAGCCAGUGUCGGGGGCCAUGCAGGGGGAUCGUGUGGGCGUGUGUGUGACACAGUUUGACCCUAAACUGUUAGAGCGGGGUGUGGUAUGCACCCCAGGGUCCCUGCGCACUCUCUAUGCAGCCAUCAUCUCUGUUAGGAAGAUAGGCUACUUCAAGGGCUCUCUCGCCACUCGUGCCAAGUUCCACAUCACCGUGGGUCAUGAGACAGUCAUGGCAAGGGUGACCUUCUUUGGCCUGCCACCUGCGGGUGUCUCUGAACCCCCCUCUGACACUAAACCACCACCGUCGCUGCCCUGCUCCCUGGACACACCCUUCACCUUUGACAGGGAGUACUUCCACCAGGAUGAGUAUGUCACAGGCCAGGGAGAAACGAGUUCUGGACCUGACCCAGAGCAAUGGGCCCUGUUGGAGUUUGAGCGACCUGUCACAUGUCCAUCACUAAGCCUUGUGAUUGGCUCCAAGCUGGACACAGACAUCCACGCCAAUGCGUGCCGGUUAGCCUUCCAAGGCCGUCUGUUGCAGGGGUUUGAAGAUAAAAGCUAUGCUGAGACUGCCCUGCCUCGUCUGCGCAUCUAUAAGACCAAACACAAGGAGGGACAGGUGGAGAGAGUGAGUGAUGAUUAUACUGUGAUCGGCCGCAACCUGUUCAAGAAAGAGACCAACCUCCAGCUGUUUGUGGGGUUGAAGGUCACGCUGUCGACGGGUGAGAGUGGCGUUAUCGAGGGUGGGUUUGGACAGAGCGGGAAGUUCAAGAUUCGGAUACAAGUUUUCAGGAUGUGGUAAGAGCGGUAGGCCCGACAUCCCAAGCCACAUUCCCAGGAUUCCUCUGGGGAUCGCCUGUGUUCCGGGGGAAGUCUGUUCUCUGUUUAUUUUACCUUCUGUUGCUCCAAACCCAUGGCUCCACACCGGGAGGGGAGAGAAAACAAAAACAUUUAGAAAGAGAACCUCACCUACAUCCUCUUCACUGCCUCACACUUGCAUACUCAAAAGUCUCAGACACACUGACUCACACAUCUUCUGGCAUGAACAUAAUGCAGACAUUCAGUUGUAUUCAUCUGAGACUCCCCGUGGGCAUUAGGACAAAGAUGACACUAUUCCUCUGAUAAGGGCUUGGUCAAAUAAUCGAUACGGCAGUACACCUGUAUAAAGUCUCUUACUGAACUCGAUCAAUAUAUUGGUAUCAGUGUCAUAAUAGGUUUAGGUCUAUCUUUCCUCUACUGCAGAGAUUUAAAGUGAUGUUUUGUGUUGUGGCCUUGUAGCCUUUUACAAGUUGUAUAUUUGAAUGAUUUCACACACAUGAACAUAUUGGUGUGUUUGUAAAAGGUGAGAACUCCUUCAAAUUUGAUCUUAUUUGUAUAUAAAAUUCUGCCAAAGUGAAAGCCCUCUAUAAUGUCGUCAAUGUUUGGGUGGUACAGUGAACCCUCGUUUAUCGCGGGGGUUACGUUCCAAAAAGAACCCGCGAUAGGCGAAAUCCGUGAAGUAGUCAGCUUUAUUUUUUACAAUUAUUAUACAAUACAAUACUGUACUAUAGAAUGAAACCAAAGAUCAAAACCUGUUUUCAGGCCCAAGCAUUUGUUUAAGAAAUAAAAAUAUAAACGUUUUCUUACAAAUAACUAUGAUAGUUUUUAGAAAUUCUGUAAAAUAAUAAUUUUAAUAAUCAAUACGAGGUUGGACACAUUGUGACUCGCGUAUUUCACAGUCCCUCUGACUGUGCCUCUUUGUCCUGACUCCGCUCCGCUGUAGCGUCUGCGAAGGCUGUGGUGCAGGUGUCUUUUUCCGAGAGAAGAACAUAGUUAUGGGUAGUUGUUGGUGCUCUUUUUUUCUUCUGGGCAAGAAGAUUCUUAUAAAAAAAGCAUAAAAAAACUGCACUAAAAAAAUCUGCGAAACAGCGAAGCCGCGAAAGGUGAACCACGUUAUAGCGAGGGUUUUUUCAUAAGGACACAUACAUAAGAUGAAGAAAAUGAAUGAAAGAGUCUGCCUGCUUUUAUGCAGAUUUCAUUGUUAGAUAUUCUCUGCAGCUCAUACCUGCAUUUUUCUUCCCAUAGGUACAACUAAUUAUUAUUUCCAUUAUCAGUUAAUCCACCUAUUACUUUCUCAAUUGUGUGAUUAAUAGUUUGAUCUACAAAAUGUCUGAAAAUAGUGAAAUAUGCCCAUCACAGUACAAAACUCACAGAUAUUAAUCAUGUUGUUUCAUAAGACAAGGAAAAGCAACACAUUUUCACAUUUAAGAAGCUGUAAAGAGAGAAUUUUCACCAUUUUUGCUUGGAAAAUGGCUUAUACAGUUAAUUGACUAUCAAAAUGGUUGUAGACUCUUUUCUGUCAGUCGAUUAUGUGAUUAGUCAAACGUAGGCCUACUACGAUGCAGCCUUACAGAUGCGUAACUCUUUGCCAGUGACACCUCCUGGAGCUUUUUGUGACAGUAACUGAUAUUAAUGUUGUAGGGGAACUCAGCAACAGAUCAGCCUGUUUCUGACCUCAUCAUUAGUAUCUGAUUCACUCACAUUGAAUGUGUUACAGUUUGUCUCUGGUCUCAGGGGACAACAAGAUUAUCAUUCCUACGUGCUCUUAUCUGGUCUAUGCACUGAAAACUCAGUGGUUUAAACCUGGUGUUAUGUUUCACCCCCCAAAAUAAAUGUGCUGCCAGCUUAACUGCUGACCUCAUUUAAUUUGUCCACAGAAGCCAGUUUAUCCACUUUUGGUUCUUGCUGGGUGUUAAUUUUGGACCUUGUCUGAUAAACGCUGCGUGAUGAGUCAGCCACUAGUCAAAAUCCUAAUGCAUCAGAUGCACUUAUCUUGAUGCUUAGACUUCAGCGACAGUCACAUUCCUCUUACAGUAUGUGAAGUAUUUUUAUUAUAUAGUAGAUGAGGUAGAUGUUUUUUAUGUUUUUGCAGUCAUAUACCUAGAAAUGUAUUUGAAGACAAACAUUUAAAAGUGCAAUUUCUUUGUGUCACUUGUAUGUGAACACAAAACAUUUAAGUUUUGGUAUAUGAGCAUGUUCUUUGGUGGUAAACGGACAUUUUCAGCUGAUCAUAGAUAACAAGAAGAGAUUUCUGGCUGGGCUGCAACCAUAACAACCCUCACACUGGCAUAACGAUAACAAGAAGAAUGCUGGCGCCGCUGUACGUGAGGUCAGACAGCCAGCGUGUAAAGCAGCGAACCCAGAACAUUUCCUACCUUCCGUGUGUGAAACGGCAAACAAGCAGCCAGUUUCUCUCCUCAAAAACAUGCAUACACAGAAAGACAAGCGAGGCAGAUAUGGUGGCAUAGAAGGAAUUUGUAGUCCUCGCAUGAGGAGUGUUGAACGGCGACUCAGCAUUCCCAGGAAACAGCUCAGUGCGGCUGAGAACGAGGCCAGAGUGCAGGAGGAGCAAUGAGUGUGUCUAAGCAGAUAGAGGAGACACGAUAUUGGGGUGCACGUGUCAGGAUGAAGCAGAUGAGCCUAAGGCAGAGGCUCGAGGAGCGACUGAGGCAUUUUCAUCAGUUACAUCAGGAGGAUGAAGACAUCAGUUGAUCUUGAGGUCAGCACACUGAACAGGCUCCAGCACUGAUAGAGCACCUACUGUACACGUAACAGGGAAGAAAAGAUCUCUGAUGCAUCAGAUAUACCUACACUGAGAGGGUCUCUUCCCAGACACUAAGCAGUUGUUAUCCUCAACCUCUAAGAAGAAA
Molecule: RNA transcript, 4977 nt
Organism: Lates calcarifer (barramundi perch)
Lineage: Eukaryota; Metazoa; Chordata; Actinopteri; Centropomidae
Gene: eefsec
Gene name: eukaryotic elongation factor, selenocysteine-tRNA-specific
Exons: 8
Source: RefSeq, a predicted model, not a curated record